GACGAACGCUGGCGGCGUGCUUAACACAUGCAAGUCGAACGGUAAGGCUCCAGCUUGCUGGGGUACACGAGUGGCGAACGGGUGAGUAACACGUGGGUGACCUGCCCUGCACUUCGGGAUAAGCCUGGGAAACUGGGUCUAAUACCGGAUAGGACCGCACCGUGAGGGUGUGGCGGAAAGUUUUUUCGGUGUGGGAUGGGCCCGCGGCCUAUCAGCUUGUUGGUGGGGUAAUGGCCUACCAAGGCGGCGACGGGUAGCCGGCCUGAGAGGGUGGACGGCCACAUUGGGACUGAGACACGGCCCAGACUCCUACGGGAGGCAGCAGUGGGGAAUAUUGCACAAUGGGCGGAAGCCUGAUGCAGCGACGCCGCGUGGGGGAUGACGGCCUUCGGGUUGUAAACUCCUUUCACCAUCGACGAAGGGUUUCUGACGGUAGAUGGAGAAGAAGCACCGGCUAACUACGUG
RNAcentral lists this ribosomal RNA (465 nucleotides) under uncultured bacterium. RNAcentral's name for it is "partial 16S ribosomal RNA". It matches the Rfam family "Bacterial small subunit ribosomal RNA", at positions 28 to 507 of the family's 1533-position model. The record is from RNAcentral.